Molecule: ribosomal RNA, 497 nt
Filed under: uncultured bacterium
Lineage: Bacteria
Description: partial 16S ribosomal RNA
Rfam family: Bacterial small subunit ribosomal RNA
Source: RNAcentral
GACGAACGCUGGCGGCGUGCCUAAUACAUGCAAGUUGAGCGCUGAAGGUUGGUACUUGUACCAACUGGAUGAGCCGCGAACGGGUGAGUAACGCGUGGGGAAUCUGCCUUUGAGCGGGGGACAACAUUUGGAAACGAAUGCUAAUACCGCAUAAAAACUUUAAACACAAGUUUUAAGUUUGAAAGAUGCAAUUGCAUCGUUCAAAGAUGAUCCCGCGUUGUAUUAGCUAGGUGGUGAGGUAAAGGCUCACCAAGGCGGUGAUACAUAGCCGACCUGAGAGGGUGAUCGGCCACAUUGGGACUGAGACACGGCCCAAACUCCUACGGGAGGCAGCAGUAGGGAAUCUUCGGCAAUGGACGAAAGUCUGACCGAGCAACGCCGCGUGAGUGAAGAAGGUUUUCGGAUCGUAAAACUCUGUUGGUAGAGAAGAACGUUGGUGAGAGUGGAAAGCUCAUCAAGUGACGGUAACUACCCAGAAAGGGACGGCUAACUACGUG